This is a long non-coding RNA of Hyalella azteca, 701 nucleotides long. RefSeq lists it as uncharacterized. The record is from RefSeq and is a predicted model, not a curated record. Lineage: Eukaryota; Metazoa; Arthropoda; Malacostraca; Amphipoda; Hyalellidae. The transcript is spliced from 2 exons.
UUGUUUUCACAUCACUUGUGACUGAUGUAUGAGAGUUCAGAUUUUCAGUCCGAAACAAUACAAUACAAACACAGUAACACUUGAUUAAACUUUUUGCCUUUCUAUUAAACUUAAGAAUCGACGUUAAAAUUAUCCAAUUUCUGUGACUACAUCAGCCUUGUUAACCAUUUGUGCAACAGCUAUCACUCGUGAAACCUAGUUGUGAAUUAGGUCUAAUUAAAAUUCAAUGAGAAUCUGUCGCUGAUUUCUUUUCAGGGCUAAAUAUCGCUAAAAACAAACAUCGUGUUGAUAACACUCCUCAUAACCUUCAGAUUUAGUGUAAGCUCUUUGCGCUCGGCCACUCCUCCAAUCUGGCCGAAGAAGUGGGCAGCAACGACGGCGUCCCUCCCGACUGCCUGGGAUGCCGGCUAGUCGGUGGUGGCGGUUGCCUCGCUGCUGCAGCUUACCUCGCGUACAUCACACGACCGCAGCGCAGGGCUACCAGAGUCGUCUCGCUGGUAGCUUCCACAGGUAUGGCCACCAUUGGAAUUGCAAGACUUCUCGGCUACAAAUCAAAUUCCCGACACAAGAGAUAGCUGAACUGGAUGGAUAUAUACCCUGUAGUGAUAUUCUCAAUUCUGUUGCUCCUGUAUGUAUUAGGACUUAUUAGUUGGAUCAAUUUCGAUGUGCCUAUGAAAUUUUAAUAAUAUAUUCUACAUGCU